RNAcentral lists this long non-coding RNA (84 nucleotides) under Homo sapiens (human). RNAcentral describes it as "HSALNT0325358". The record is from RNAcentral. Lineage: Eukaryota; Metazoa; Chordata; Mammalia; Primates; Hominidae.
CUUUUUUAUUUUUAGUAGAGACGGGGUUUCACCACGUUGACCAGGCUAGUCUCAAACUCCUGACCUCAGGUGAUCCACCUGCUU